RNAcentral lists this ribosomal RNA (104 nucleotides) under uncultured bacterium. Its description in RNAcentral is "partial 16S ribosomal RNA". It matches the Rfam family "Bacterial small subunit ribosomal RNA", at positions 1378 to 1482 of the family's 1533-position model. The record is from RNAcentral.
CCGUUGUACACACCGCCCGUCACACCAUGGAGUUGGUUUACCCGAAGGUGCUGUGCUAACCGCAAGGAGGCAGGCAACCACGGUAGGGUACAGCGACUGGGGUG